GCGCAUGCGCGUUCAGGUGUUCUACCUCCUAGUGGGAUGGCCUAGGUUGUAUAGGUAUAAAAGUGAUCCUUUCACAUUCUUAGAGCAUCACCACCACCACGACCUAAGGAGCAUCGACACAUCGCGCUGAGGAUCCCCGACGCAUCGACCUAAGGAGCUCAGGAUAACAUCGGCAUCAACCAUGACACCCAGCCAGGACAUCGCCCAUGCCACAGCCGCUCUAGAGCAUGACAUGCAGUCGUGGGACCUGUCAGAGUCACCGUCAACAGCGCUGCUAAUCCAGACCCCCCAGAAUCCACCACCCUCUCCACAAUGCUCGCAGGACCCCCUCAUAUCAGGCCUGUGUGAGGAAACAGUAAUCGACAUCAAACUCGCAACUCUCCACCUGUUGAUGUUGGCGUUGAAUGAGUUUCUACAAGAGACAUGUUAUGGAUGUCAAACAGGCCACCCCAGUCAGGUGCAACACAGUUGCUUGCAGGAAUUGUCUGAGUAUUUCUUCGACACCUACUAUGAUUAUAUGAUGAUAUGGCUCCAGACUGACCGAUUCAUCCCUGCCAUUCGACUGUUUGUACGCUCAUACACCGUAGAUGGGACUGGAACACAAAUCCGCAGGAUUGCUGAACACAUCAUGUGUGAACUGAGAUCAGAGCGACAUAUAGUAUGCGCCAUUAAUGACAACAUUGCGCACCUGCUAGAAGCAAGUAGUUGCGCCCGCCGUGUUAAACCAGCCAUGCUCCGCAUGAUUGGAAACUACUGGGCUGGGAGACACCUGGUUUAAUAUGUGCUGUUCAAGUAUCCAGUGUCUGUGUUUGUGUCUGUGUGAAAAUUAAAUAAAAAGACGUGUUACCAUCAACAUCUUGGUCAUUUGUGGUUUGGAAAUCAUGGAAAACACAUUGCAUAAAAUAUAUCAUGAUCCAGCCCAUCCUGCAGGGUUGGCCAGUUUAAAUAAGCUACUUAUAGUGGCAGGGGAGGCAUAAGGUGUAACACCUCCAAUAUCUCAGGUCAAACAUUAUUUAGAACAAGACGACACUUACACACUCCAUAAACCUGCGAGGAUCCACUUCCCCAGAAAUAGAGUAUUGGUGACAGGGCUUGACAAACAGUUUUAAGCCGAUCUGCUUGACAUGUGUGAAUAUGUGUCAGAUAAUGAUAAUGUGAGAUAUCUGAUAACAUGUAUAGAUGUAUUCUCAAAAUACGCAUGGGUUAGAUGCCUCACAAACAAGACAGGGACUGCUGUAUCAGCUGCUUUUGAGGAUAUACUUAGUGAGGGUAGGAUCCCUGUGAAACUACAAACAGAUGAAGGCAAAGAGUUUUAUAAUGCAACCUUUAAACAGC
This 1335-nucleotide long non-coding RNA is filed under the name Oreochromis niloticus (Nile tilapia). Its description in RNAcentral is "lncRNA (ENSONIG00000034998.1)". Lineage: Eukaryota; Metazoa; Chordata; Actinopteri; Cichliformes; Cichlidae. The record is from RNAcentral.